CUUUUGCACAUUACUAGCAGACCAGCCUGUAGACCCCGUGACCAAACUCUGGGAACAAAGGUUUGAAAGUGGUUUCGGGCUCCCUGAUGGAUUUUGAUCAUUUUUUACUUGGGUUGUCUUCAAACAUCCAGGCAUUUUCGGGAGGGGGCAACAAAGGUCAAACAAGGGUG
Thalassophryne amazonica is the source of this 170-nucleotide long non-coding RNA. RefSeq lists it as uncharacterized. The record is from RefSeq and is a predicted model, not a curated record. Lineage: Eukaryota; Metazoa; Chordata; Actinopteri; Batrachoidiformes; Batrachoididae. The transcript is spliced from 3 exons.